RNAcentral lists this transfer RNA (64 nucleotides) under marine eukaryotic metagenome. It matches the Rfam family "tRNA", at positions 6 to 65 of the family's 71-position model. Rfam says of the family: Transfer RNA (tRNA) molecules are approximately 80 nucleotides in length. Their secondary structure includes four short double-helical elements and three loops (D, anti-codon, and T loops). Further hydrogen bonds mediate the characteristic L-shaped molecular structure. tRNAs have two regions of fundamental functional importance: the anti-codon, which is responsible for specific mRNA codon recognition, and the 3' end, to which the tRNAs corresponding amino acid is attached (by aminoacyl-tRNA synthetases). tRNAs cope with the degeneracy of the genetic code in two manners: having more than one tRNA (with a specific anti-codon) for a particular amino acid; and 'wobble' base-pairing, i.e. permitting non-standard base-pairing at the 3rd anti-codon position. The record is from RNAcentral.
CGUAGCUCAGUGGAUAGAGCGUCGGUUUCCUAAACCGUGCGUCGCAGGUUCGAUUCCUGCCGGG